UUUCCGUAGGUGAACCUGCGGAAGGAUCAUUACCGAGUGAGGGCCCUCUGGGUCCAACCUCCCACCCGUGUCUAUCGUACCUUGUUGCUUCGGCGGGCCCGCCGUUUCGACGGCCGCCGGGGAGGCCUUGCGCCCCCGGGCCCGCGCCCGCCGAAGACCCCAACAUGAACGCUGUUCUGAAAGUAUGCAGUCUGAGUUGAUUAUCGUAAUCAGUUAAAACUUUCAACAACGGAUCUCUUGGUUCCGGCAUCGAUGAAGAACGCAGCGAAAUGCGAUAAGUAAUGUGAAUUGCAGAAUUCAGUGAAUCAUCGAGUCUUUGAACGCACAUUGCGCCCCCUGGUAUUCCGGGGGGCAUGCCUGUCCGAGCGUCAUUGCUGCCCUCAAGCACGGCUUGUGUGUUGGGCCCCCGUCCCCCUCUCCCGGGGGACGGGCCCGAAAGGCAGCGGCGGCACCGCGUCCGGUCCUCGAGCGUAUGGGGCUUUGUCACCUGCUCUGUAGGCCCGGCCGGCGCCAGCCGACACCCAACUUUAUUUUUCUAAGGUUGACCUCGGAUCAGGUAGGGAUACCCGCUGAACUUAA
RNAcentral lists this small RNA (579 nucleotides) under Aspergillus fumigatus. RNAcentral's name for it is "eukaryotic LSU rRNA". The stretch from base 218 to 371 matches the Rfam family "5.8S ribosomal RNA". The record is from RNAcentral. Lineage: Eukaryota; Fungi; Ascomycota; Eurotiomycetes; Eurotiales; Aspergillaceae.